AUACGGAAGGUGCAAGCGUUAAUCGGAAUUACUGGGCGUAAAGCGCGCGUAGGUGGCUUGGUCAGUCGGGUGUGAAAUCCCAGGGCCCAACCCUGGAACUGCAUUCGAAACUGCUUCGCUAGAGUCGCGGAGAGGAUGGCGGAAUUCCCGGUGUAGGGGUGAAAUCCGUAGAUAUCGGGAGGAACACCAGUGGCGAAGGCGGCCAUCUGGACGCUGACUGACGCUCAGACCCGAAAGCGUGGGGAGCAAACAGGAUUAGAAACCCGGGUAGUCC
Molecule: ribosomal RNA, 274 nt
Filed under: uncultured bacterium
Lineage: Bacteria
Description: partial 16S ribosomal RNA
Rfam family: Bacterial small subunit ribosomal RNA
Source: RNAcentral